Molecule: ribosomal RNA, 2906 nt
Filed under: Escherichia albertii
Lineage: Bacteria; Pseudomonadati; Pseudomonadota; Gammaproteobacteria; Enterobacterales; Enterobacteriaceae
Description: 23S ribosomal RNA
Rfam family: Bacterial large subunit ribosomal RNA
Source: RNAcentral
GGUUAAGCGACUAAGCGUACACGGUGGAUGCCCUGGCAGUCAGAGGCGAUGAAGGACGUGCUAAUCUGCGAAAAGCGUCGGUAAGGUGAUAUGAACCGUUAUAACCGGCGAUGUCCGAAUGGGGAAACCCAGUGUGUUUCGACACACUAUCAUUAACUGAAUCCAUAGGUUAAUGAGGCGAACCGGGGGAACUGAAACAUCUAAGUACCCCGAGGAAAAGAAAUCAACCGAGAUUCCCCCAGUAGCGGCGAGCGAACGGGGAGGAGCCCAGAGCCUGAAUCAGUGUGUGUGUUAGUGGAAGCGUCUGGAAAGGCGCGCGAUACAGGGUGACAGCCCCGUACACAAAAAUGCACAUGCUGUGAGCUCGAUGAGUAGGGCGGGACACGUGGUAUCCUGUCUGAAUAUGGGGGGACCAUCCUCCAAGGCUAAAUACUCCUGACUGACCGAUAGUGAACCAGUACCGUGAGGGAAAGGCGAAAAGAACCCCGGCGAGGGGAGUGAAAAAGAACCUGAAACCGUGUACGUACAAGCAGUGGGAGCCCUGAUUUAUCAGGGUGACUGCGUACCUUUUGUAUAAUGGGUCAGCGACUUAUAUUCUGUAGCAAGGUUAACCGAAUAGGGGAGCCGGAGGGAAACCGAGUCUUAACUGGGCGUUAAGUUGCAGGGUAUAGACCCGAAACCCGGUGAUCUAGCCAUGGGCAGGUUGAAGGUUGGGUAACACUAACUGGAGGACCGAACCGACUAAUGUUGAAAAAUUAGCGGAUGACUUGUGGCUGGGGGUGAAAGGCCAAUCAAACCGGGAGAUAGCUGGUUCUCCCCGAAAGCUAUUUAGGUAGCGCCUCGUGAAUUCAUCUCCGGGGGUAGAGCACUGUUUCGGCAAGGGGGUCAUCCCGACUUACCAACCCGAUGCAAACUGCGAAUACCGGAGAAUGUUAUCACGGGAGACACACGGCGGGUGCUAACGUCCGUCGUGAAGAGGGAAACAACCCAGACCGCCAGCUAAGGUCCCAAAGUCAUGGUUAAGUGGGAAACGAUGUGGGAAGGCCCAGACAGCCAGGAUGUUGGCUUAGAAGCAGCCAUCAUUUAAAGAAAGCGUAAUAGCUCACUGGUCGAGUCGGCCUGCGCGGAAGAUGUAACGGGGCUAAACCAUGCACCGAAGCUGCGGCAGCGACACUGUGUGUUGUUGGGUAGGGGAGCGUUCUGUAAGCCUGCGAAGGUGUGCUGUGAGGUAUGCUGGAGGUAUCAGAAGUGCGAAUGCUGACAUAAGUAACGAUAAAGCGGGUGAAAAGCCCGCUCGCCGGAAGACCAAGGGUUCCUGUCCAACGUUAAUCGGGGCAGGGUGAGUCGACCCCUAAGGCGAGGCCGAAAGGCGUAGUCGAUGGGGAAACAGGUUAAUAUUCCUGUACUUGGUGUUACUGCGAAGGGGGGACGGAGAAGGCUAUGUUGGCCGGGCGACGGUUGUCCCGGUUUAAGCGUGUAGGCUGGUUUUCCAGGCAAAUCCGGAAAAUCAAGGCUGAGGCGUGAUGACGAGGCACUACGGUGCUGAAGCGACAAAUGCCCUGCUUCCAGGAAAAGCCUCUAAGCAUCAGGUAACAUCAAAUCGUACCCCAAACCGACACAGGUGGUCAGGUAGAGAAUACCAAGGCGCUUGAGAGAACUCGGGUGAAGGAACUAGGCAAAAUGGUGCCGUAACUUCGGGAGAAGGCACGCUGAUAUGUAGGUGAAGCGACUUGCUCGUGGAGCUGAAAUCAGUCGAAGAUACCAGCUGGCUGCAACUGUUUAUUAAAAACACAGCACUGUGCAAACACGAAAGUGGACGUAUACGGUGUGACGCCUGCCCGGUGCCGGAAGGUUAAUUGAUGGGGUCAGCGCAAGCGAAGCUCUUGAUCGAAGCCCCGGUAAACGGCGGCCGUAACUAUAACGGUCCUAAGGUAGCGAAAUUCCUUGUCGGGUAAGUUCCGACCUGCACGAAUGGCGUAAUGAUGGCCAGGCUGUCUCCACCCGAGACUCAGUGAAAUUGAACUCGCUGUGAAGAUGCAGUGUACCCGCGGCAAGACGGAAAGACCCCGUGAACCUUUACUAUAGCUUGACACUGAACACUGGUCCUUGAUGUGUAGGAUAGGUGGGAGGCUUUGAAGUGUGGACGCCAGUCUGCAUGGAGCCGUCCUUGAAAUACCACCCUUUAAUGGCUGGUGUUCUAACGUGGGCCCGUAAUCCGGGUUGCGGACAGUGUCUGGUGGGUAGUUUGACUGGGGCGGUCUCCUCCUAAAGAGUAACGGAGGAGCACGAAGGUUGGCUAAUCCUGGUCGGACAUCAGGAGGUUAGUGCAAUGGCAUAAGCCAGCUUGACUGCGAGCGUGACGGCGCGAGCAGGUGCGAAAGCAGGUCAUAGUGAUCCGGUGGUUCUGAAUGGAAGGGCCAUCGCUCAACGGAUAAAAGGUACUCCGGGGAUAACAGGCUGAUACCGCCCAAGAGUUCAUAUCGACGGCGGUGUUUGGCACCUCGAUGUCGGCUCAUCACAUCCUGGGGCUGAAGUAGGUCCCAAGGGUAUGGCUGUUCGCCAUUUAAAGUGGUACGCGAGCUGGGUUUAGAACGUCGUGAGACAGUUCGGUCCCUAUCUGCCGUGGGCGCUGGAGAACUGAGGGGGGCUGCUCCUAGUACGAGAGGACCGGAGUGGACGCAUCACUGGUGUUCGGGUUGUCAUGCCAAUGGCACUGCCCGGUAGCUAAAUGCGGAAGAGAUAAGUGCUGAAAGCAUCUAAGCACGAAACUUGCCCCGAGAUGAGUUCUCCCUGAGACUUAGAGUCUCCUGAAGGAACGUUGAAGACGACGACGUUGAUAGGCCGGGUGUGUAAGCGCAGCGAUGCGUUGAGCUAACCGGUACUAAUGAACCGUGAGGCUUAACCUU